RNAcentral lists this long non-coding RNA (201 nucleotides) under Physcomitrium patens. Its description in RNAcentral is "long non-coding RNA (PPAT_LNC002242)". Lineage: Eukaryota; Viridiplantae; Streptophyta; Bryopsida; Funariales; Funariaceae. The record is from RNAcentral.
CAGUUCUGCAGAGGUUAUGAGAAGGAACGACAGUGAGCAACCAGCGUCAACAUCGAGUUCGAGUCAUUCCAACAAUACUGCUGUAGAUGCUCCAAGCUGGUCGUCGACAUACCUUGGUAUGAAUUUCCAGGACAAACGAGGACCUACUUGUAUGAAUGGUAGUUGGAUGAACCCGGUAGGAUGAAGUUGGGUUCGGUUUCA